This 625-nucleotide ribosomal RNA is filed under the name Hepatozoon canis. RNAcentral's name for it is "bacterial SSU rRNA". It matches the Rfam family "Eukaryotic small subunit ribosomal RNA", at positions 189 to 812 of the family's 1831-position model. Lineage: Eukaryota; Apicomplexa; Hepatozoidae. The record is from RNAcentral.
UUUAUUAGAAGAGACGCAUUUAUUAGAUAAAAAGCCAGUUCAUGCUUUUAYAGUAUGAAAAUUGGUGAUUUAUAAUAACUUAGCAAAUCGCAAAGUGAAAACAGGCGAUAAAUCAUUCAAGUUUCUGACCUAUCAGCUUUCGACGGUAUGGUAUUGGCUUACCGUGGCAGUGACGGUUAACGGGGGAUUAGGGUUCGAUUCCGGAGAGGGAGCCUGAGAAACGGCUACCACAUCUAAGGAAGGCAGCAGGCGCGCAAAUUACCCAAUUCUAACAGUUUGAGAGAGGUAGUAACAAGAAAUAACAAUACAAGGCAGUUAAAAUGCUUUGUAAUUGGAAUGAUAGAAAUUUAAACCCUUUUUAAAGUAUCAAUUGGAGGGCAAGUCUGGUGCCAGCAGCCGCGGUAAUUCCAGCUCCAAUAGCGUAUAUUAAAAUUGUUGCAGUUAAAAAGCUCGUAGUUGAAGUUCUGCUGAAAGUAACCGGUCUGCUUUUAAUAAAAGUGGUAUCUUGGUAUGUAUUUAGCAAUGAUGUCCUUUGAAGUGUUUUUUACUUUAUUGUAAUAAAGCAUAUUCAGGACUUUUACUUUGAGAAAAUUAGAGUGUUUCUAGCAGGCUAACGCUUUGAAUA